Molecule: non-coding RNA, 82 nt
Organism: Pyronema omphalodes CBS 100304
Lineage: Eukaryota; Fungi; Ascomycota; Pezizomycetes; Pezizales; Pyronemataceae
Source: Rfam
GGCCCUGUGGCCUAAUGGUAAGGCGUUGGUUUUCGGUUAUCAAAACCACCAAAGAUUGUGCGUUCGAGUCGCAUCGGGGUCG